RNAcentral lists this ribosomal RNA (253 nucleotides) under uncultured bacterium. RNAcentral describes it as "partial 16S ribosomal RNA". It matches the Rfam family "Bacterial small subunit ribosomal RNA", at positions 524 to 776 of the family's 1533-position model. The record is from RNAcentral.
UACGUAGGGGGCAAGCGUUGUCCGGAUUUAUUGGGCGUAAAGAGCGUGUAGGCGGCCAUUCAGGUCAGCUGUGAAAAUUCGAGGCUCAACCUCGAGACGUCGGUUGAAACCGUUUGGCUCGAGUCCGGAAGGGGAGAGUGGAAUUCCCGGUGUAGCGGUGAAAUGCGCAGAUAUCGGGAAGAACACCCGUGGCGAAGGCGGCUCUCUGGGACGGUACUGACGCUGAGACGCGAAAGCGUGGGGAGCGAACAGG